This 46-nucleotide ribosomal RNA is filed under the name Hyalorbilia spermatophaga. RNAcentral describes it as "partial 28S large subunit ribosomal RNA". The record is from RNAcentral. Lineage: Eukaryota; Fungi; Ascomycota; Orbiliomycetes; Orbiliales; Orbiliaceae.
GACUCCAAUCAGACAAGGAUACCGCUGAACUUAAGCAUAUCAUUCG